AGAGUUUGAUCCUGGCUCAGAAUCAACGCUGGCGGCAUGCCUAACACAUGCAAGUCGAACGCGAAAGGGUCCUUCGGGAUCUGAGUAGAGUGGCGUCCGGGUGAGUAACGCGUAGAUCAUCUACCUUCGGGUGGGGAAUAACUCAGGGAAACUUGAGCUAAUACCGCAUAACAUCGAAAGAUCAAAGCAGGGGAUCGCAAGACCUUGCGCCUGAAGAGGAGUCUGCGUCUGAUUAGCUAGUUGGUAAGGUAAUGGCUUACCAAGGCUUCGAUCAGUAGCUGGUCUGAGAGGACGGCCAGCCACAUUGGCACUGAAACACGGGCCAAACUCCUACGGGAGGCAGCAGUGGGGAAUUUUGGGCAAUGGGCGAAAGCCUGACCCAGCAAUGCCGCGUGAACGAUGAAGUCCUUCGGGAUGUAAAGUUCGGAAGUAAGGAACGAAAAGCUAUGGGAUAAUACCCUGUAGUGCUGACGGUACCUUAUCUAAGCCCCGGCUAACUACGUGCCAGCAGCCGCGGUAAUACGUAGGGGGCAAGCGUUGUUCGGAAUUACUGGGCGUAAAGCGCGUGUAGGCGGUCUGGCAAGUCAGAUGUGAAAGCCCCGGGCUCAACUUGGGAACUGCAUUUGAUACUGCCAAGCUAGAGUACAGAAGAGGUGACUGGAAUUCCCAGUAGCGGUGAAAUGCGUAGAUAUUGGGAGGAACACCAGAUGCGAAGGCGGGUCACUGGGCUGAUACUGACGCUAAAGCGCGAAAGCCAGGGGAGCGAACGGGAUUAGAUACCCCUGUAGUCC
Molecule: ribosomal RNA, 791 nt
Filed under: uncultured bacterium
Lineage: Bacteria
Description: bacterial SSU rRNA
Rfam family: Bacterial small subunit ribosomal RNA
Source: RNAcentral